UGCAUUCCUCAGUCUCAUUCGAUGUAUGCGACAGCUGGCUAUAACACACCCGGAGGUGCCACCUUCCAGCUGCCCUUAUCCACCGAACAAAACUGAUGUUGACCCGACUGAGGGGAAUACACCGGCAGAACCGGCUGAGCCUCUCAGUCACGACUGACUUCAAUCGUUUCCCUUUCAACAAUUUCACGUACUGUUUAACUCUCUUUCCAAAGUGCUUUUCAUCUUUCCCUCACGGUACUUGUUCGCUAUCGGUCUCUCGCCAAUAUUUAGCUUUAGAUGGAACUCACCACCCAUUUUGAGCUGCAUUCCCAAACAACUCGACUCGUAGAAGACGUAUCACAGAGCACCGGUCAUUGUGUCAAGUACGGGAUUAUCACCCUCUUUGAUACCCUGUUCCAAGGGACUUAGACACAGUCCGGCACGGAAAACGCCUCUAUAGAUUACAACUCGGACGCACUGAGCACGCCAGA
RNAcentral lists this ribosomal RNA (470 nucleotides) under Papiliotrema terrestris. RNAcentral's name for it is "partial 26S ribosomal RNA". Lineage: Eukaryota; Fungi; Basidiomycota; Tremellomycetes; Tremellales; Rhynchogastremaceae. The record is from RNAcentral.